UUUAUACGUCGAAUUUUGGUCGCGUCGAAUGCAAUUAAGACAAUAGAUAAUGAGAUGAUAAACCUCAUUAAGCUUCAUUAUCUAUUGUUUGAAUUGCAUUCGACGCGACCGAAAUUCGACGUAUAUG
RNAcentral lists this microRNA precursor (127 nucleotides) under Paramuricea clavata. The record is from RNAcentral. Lineage: Eukaryota; Metazoa; Cnidaria; Anthozoa; Malacalcyonacea; Plexauridae.